Oncorhynchus kisutch (coho salmon) is the source of this 4083-nucleotide long non-coding RNA. RefSeq lists it as uncharacterized. NCBI's taxonomy places the organism in Eukaryota, Metazoa, Chordata, Actinopteri, Salmoniformes, Salmonidae. The transcript has 3 exons. The record is from RefSeq and is a predicted model, not a curated record.
CCAUGAGCUAAUUUUACAGAGCUAGAACAACCACUAUAUAAAGUUUGGACUGCUUAAAAAAAAAAAAACACCAAAUCCCCAAAAAGCAUAUUGCUUUGAACAUAAACUCAUGUUCUACAGUGUCAAAAGCUUUAUAAAAUACAAACAUAAGAAAACUAUCAUCAAGGAUGAGGUCAUUAUAGUCAAUCAUAUCUAAGAUCAACCUGAUGUUAUUACUCACGUGUCGACAAUGCAUUAAACCAGAUUGUUCUUCAUCAUAUUUACCUUUCAUAAAUAAAGGUAAAUUAAAAAUUUAAAAAUCUAUUAUAUGAUGCAAGCCUUGUUUCAACCUCUUAGCAAAUACAAGAGCAAAUAAUUUCCCAUCAUUAUUCAACAGGCUAAUGGGUCUCCAGUUGUCAAUAUAAAGACUAUCGUUAUUAGGUUUGGGAAUCAAAGUAAUUACACCUUGCUUUAAGGAAGCUGGUAACUCCCCUUUUUCGAUUGAUUCUUGGAACAUAGGAAGAAUGAAAGGAAUCAAUUUAACAUUGAAUGCUUUAUAAAACUUGCUUAUUAAACCAUCAUUUCCAGGGGACCUAUUGUCCUUAAGGCUUUUAAUACAGUCUUGUCUCAAUUUCAGAUAACUCAUCAUCACAAAAAUCCCUGAAAUCAUAAUCUAUCUUCUUAGCAAUGUUUGCUACAUUGUCUAAGAAAAUAUCCAUAUUGGAAGUUGACUGGACUGGUGUAUAUAGAUUCUGAUAAAACUGGACAACAUGCUGAGAGAUUUAUUUUUGUCAUGCCCUGACCAUAGAGAGCCUUUGUUUUUCUAUGGUAUAGUAGGUCAGGGGGUGACUGGGGGGUUUUCUAGUUAUUAUUUUCUAUGUGGGUUUCUAGUUGAGUUUUUCAAUGUUGGUGUUUGUUAUGAUUCCCAAUUAGAGACAGCUGGCUAUCGUUGUCUCUAAUUAGGGAUCAUAUUUAAGUAUAAUUUUUUUCCACCUAUGUUUUAUAGGAUAUUGUUUUGAGUUAGUGUAUGUUACACCUCUUAGUUACGGUUCGUUGUUUGUUUCGUUCUGUCUUUGUUGUUUUGUUCGUUUUUAAUAAAUAAUAUGUGGAAACCAUAUCGCGCUGCAGCUUGGUCCAAUAAUUAUUCAGACGACUGUGACACUUUUGGAUUUUCAUUGGGAGUAUUUUUAAUCAUUCAUUUACAUAUUUUCACCUGCCCUUUUUUCUAAAUUAAAGAAAUAUUUUGUAUUUUGCUCUCCCUCUUCCAUCCAUUUUCAUCUUUAUCUUGCUCCCCCAGCCUUUUCCUCGUAGAUACAGUCUAAGUGUAUUUGCAAUGAUAGCUCCAGUAAUUCCUGAUUAGUUAGUUCCGUUUUUUUUGUAUGAUCCAUUACUCCCUUUAUGAUGUCACAUUCUCACUCUCUUGGCAUGAGCAAUUUCUUUCCCCAUUGAAAUAGCCAAAAGCCUUAUAUCAAAUUUCACUAGCUCCCAGUAACUUCCAAAUGUAUUCAUAACACAGGCACAAUUCCAGGAUAUCAAUAAUUCCUGCUACUUCCUUCUUAAAUACUUCAUUAUCUAGUUAAGUCUUGUUCAUUUUACAGUAGCAUUUACUAACUUUUUUUGUUGACAAAACAUGCAUAUUUAUCUUUAUUGAGAUCCCUUUGUGGUCUGUUAAAAAUCAAUGGUUCAAUUGAGACUAUAUCAACCUUGUCAGCCAUUUCUUCAGAUAUCAGCCAGAAAUCAAUACAGGAUUGCAUAGAUAAAUCUUUGGUACCCCAUGUAAACAUAAUAUCUGGGCUCUUUUGUCUCCAAAUAUCUAGAACACCUAACCUUAGACAUAUAUUCCUUAUCUCACAAACAGAAUUGCUAUCCUUAGGAGGCCAUCUAUCUAGAUUAUCAUGUAAUACUGUAUUAAAAUCUCCACCCAGUAUUACCUAGGCCAAUGGAAAUUUAGACAAUUUUACUUAUUUUCCUCUCAAUGUCUCUAAAUAAAAUACAGUUACUUGACUUGUUAUUGGAAGAAUAAGUAUUUACAACAAUGAAUUGAAUGUGGUUGACAUCUACCAAUAGUAUAAUCCAUAUCCCUGUAUUAUCUGCUUCAUGACUCAAUAUAUGACCCUUAAAGUUGCCUUUUAAAAUAGUGACACCUGCUGACCGAUUAGUAGCAAAUGAAAACCAAAUAUCAUUCCCCCCAUUGACACUUCCAAAACGCAGUAUCUGUGGAAAAGGCAUGAGUUUCUUGAAUGAAAUAAAAGUCAGCACUAUUAAUUACCCUUACAAUACAAAAAAAUAUUUCCUUUUCAAAAUAUGACGGAUUUCCCUGGCAUUAAUAGAAAAAACAGAAAUGGACAUUUACUAUCAGUGACUAUAUGAAGAACAUUACACUUGUUUUCACAUGAAUCGGGUUCUCACAAAAAGAAAAGGUCUUACUAGUUGCAAAUAAAAACAGUCCUAUGCACCACGCAAGUGGUUGACCUAAAUUAUAUACAUAUAUAUAUAUAUAUUGUUUUAUACAAUUGCAAAUAACAUUGUACCAUAGAUUGGUAAAACGAAUAGCCAUCAAGAUAACAUUGUCAGUGCAAAUUUCCCUGCCAUAAAAAGAGAUAUAAAGUUUUAUCAGAUGCAAAUAAAACUCAGUGCUGCACCACUCACUUGAUAAAUCCAGCAGUCAACAAGCUAGGCAUCAGCGUGAAUUUCCCUUUGAUUAGCAAAAGCCAUGGCUCCCGCAAAGUAUGCACUUUUCCCUUCCUUCCUCUGUCAUCCUCCACAGAUGAUUCCGAGCUUCUUUGUCAAAUGCUGUCAGAUCCUCAGGUUGUUCUUUAAAUAGUCCUUUUUCUUUGCACUUUUCCAUGUCAUAUCCCUGGCUGUCCUGGAGAUUAAUCUCAUGAUCACUGGUUGUGGUGGCUGGUUGUUUUCCCUAUCUCUCAGCCUUCCCAGGCAGUGCACUACAUCCAGAGAACCUGCAACAACAUUUCGCUCCUCCUCCGCGACUAUUGCCCUGCAAAUGUCCUUCACUCUUGCUUUGAUGUUGUCGUCGGAUUUUUCUGCUAUUGCAUAAAUUCAAAGAUUCCACCUCCGACCAUACCGGUCCUUCUUGUAUACAUUUGACUCCAUUUCAGUGAGUUUUUUCUCCUGCUUUGCAACCUGAAUUUUUUAUAUUGCGUUCUGCUGCUUCAGUUUUUACUUCAUCAGCAUUGAAAUCAAUCGCUUUCUUAAUGUUAAAAUCAAAUGUAUUUAUAUAGCCCUUCGUACAUCAGCUGAUAUCUCAAAGUGCUGUACAGAAACCCAGCCUAAAACCCCAAACAGCAAGCAAUGCAGGUGUAGAAGCACGGUGGCUAGGAAAAACGAUACUGACAGUGUUCUUUUUCACCAAAUCCAUGAUUUCAUCUGCGUUCUCUUUGACUUUAACCGUGAGGAUACGGACGAUGUUGUCCUGUAGCUGGCUCAGUGAUGGUUCACUUCUCAGCUUCUUUGGAAGUUGCGCUUUGGUUGGGGUAUUCAGUGUGACAGGCUAGCUGCAGACACAGCCAUUGAGCUGAGGAGAAGGGGAGUGGCCUCUGUCAGUCUAUGACCUUGAGUAGUUCAGACAGAGUUGGUGUCUCAACUCAUCAUCAUUGAGAAGGAUUCUCCACCAGGUAUUGAUCCUAAGAGAUGUAUUUGCCAAUGAAGACACCACAGAGCUGAGUGGGAAGUGCAUUGUGGAGAUGGCGGAAAGGUACAUUACAUUUACAUUAUACUACAGCAUGUACAUGGUCAUGCACCGUUAUACACUCAGUGGCUAGUUUAUUAGGUACACCACCCCGUUCACAAAAAUGGUUAGCUCCUACAGACAGUUAGUCACGUGGUCGUGGCUUGUUAUAUAAAGAAGGCAGGCAAGCAUGAAGACAUUCAGUUACUGUUCGAUUAAACAUUAGAAUGGGCAAAACUAGUGACCUGAGCAACUUUGAGCAUGGUAUGAUCAUCAGGUCAGGCGCGCUGGUCCCAGCAUCUCAGAAACAGCCGGCCUCCUGGACUUUUCACGCACAACAGUGUCUAGGGUUUACUGAGAAUGGUGCGACAAACCAAAAACAUCCUCGGUCCUCUGCCAGGACCUAGGAUCAAGGGAGA